ACCUGGUGACCUCGUUAACGGACGCAGUUUUGAAUUCAUACCAGCGCCAUUUUAGGUGCUUGGACCACAGCAUCUUUGGACUUUUUAGACAUCCUGGCAGCUUUAAAUGAACUCGUGAGAGCAUCAGAAGAGAGUGACAGGUGAAACAGCGUCAAGACAACAGCGAGAAAAACAUGCUGAAGAUGGAAUAAAACCUUGGUUGGAAAUAUUUGAAGGGAUCUAACCAGUCCACAAUCAAAGCUUCAUUGCCAACGUUGCUGUGAGUCUUCUGGCAGAAAUGAUGACACCUGUAUGAAUUCUUUGGUUUCCCUAAACAUCACACCCUGUCUGUACGAGGCUCUCACCAUCUUCAAUUAAGUCUGCACCUAAAGAUUCAAUAAGAGAGGAGAUCCUGCCAGUCCAUAGUGAACUCCUGAUGGACAUCUCAGUACUCCAGCAGAGCUUCUAUCUUCAACAUCAUGUGCAUUAGAAACUCCACUACACGUUUGAGUGUUUUCCUUAACCAAGGCAGGACCCAGUGACUCAUUACUCUUGAUCGGUCAGG
RNAcentral lists this long non-coding RNA (544 nucleotides) under Gouania willdenowi (blunt-snouted clingfish). RNAcentral describes it as "lncRNA (ENSGWIG00000015960.1)". Lineage: Eukaryota; Metazoa; Chordata; Actinopteri; Blenniiformes; Gobiesocidae. The record is from RNAcentral.